GGAAAGAGGACGCGUGUGAUUACAAGCAAGAGGGCAUGACCGUCGAACAAGAAGAAGCUGUUCUCCCUCCGUGCUGUGAGAACAGGCUUGAAGGUCCUGGUGGAGAUGGACCAGUGAGGGAGUUUCCAGAAAUAUCGGUGCAAAAUCUGCAGGAUCUUAUUGCUGAAGUUGAUAGUGAGAAACUUGGAGAGAAAAUGAAUAUUUUCUCAGGGGAGGAGCACCAAGAUGCAGGUGAGAGCUUUGCAGAUUAUCCCUCAGACUUUUCCUCAUGUGAAUAUGUAGAAGAGGGAGGUAAAAACCAAGAUAUGAAGCGCCAGUCAGAAGCAUUGGCUUGUGCAUCCGGCAGCAGUUCAAUUGUUCAGCAGAACACCUUCCUGGAAGAAUCAGAUGGGAUGCAGAUGGGAGGAGCGGAGGACUCUGAUGAGGAGGGGGACAGGAACCGGCACAGCAGAUAUUUAGAACAGGAAGCCAAUGAGCUCAGCAGCGUGGACGUGGCUAAUGGAGAGAAACGCAUGGUGGAGAACGUGUCUGGCAACGCAUUUGCAACGGGGCUUGAUGAUGGCAGUGCGACAAGUGACAGUGAAUCCUUCACCUCCAGUGACGAUGAGGUGCAAGAAAAAAGGAGCGACGAAGAACUCUUUGGUAGUACGCAUCUACAAGAUCAACUGGAGGAGACUCGCGGUGGCAGCAGAGCAUCAUUUUCUGAUUGCUACGACAGAAUGGAUCCGGCAGAUUUCAACAAUCACUUUAACCCAGAGCUGUUAACAGCUGACCCUCUUUUGUCUGAAGACAUGUUAACCACAGAGGACGCAGACACGCCGCUUUCAGACGCGACUCUGCGUCCUGCAGAAGACGCCAACAGCUACUCGGUGGUACAGGAAGGGGAUGCAAAAACAAGCAAGUCCUCUCACCAGGGAUCGCUGGACGAUAACUUCGUCUUCAACACGGAACCUGAAGCUUGUGGAAGCUUCGCUGAGACAGGACAGCUGGGAGACGACGAGUGCGAAGAGGAGAGCGACUGGCAACAAGAGCAGCAGAGAAUCAAGUCGUUCUACGAGUUUUAUGAUGACAGCGAUGUAGAGAAUGAAAGAGGGGGAAGACUGGUAAAAGUUCAGUUUUGUGCAGAUCCAUUAUCGCAAGUCAUUCACUAUGAAACUGACAGUGACAGAGCUUCACUCAGCAGCUCCAUAGAUGGGGAGGAGGACCUGAACUCUGCAGACACGUCUGAGUGCUCCAACAUGCUGAAGCCGACACUGAAGAUUGGUCUCGCGAUACUGACUGGACUGCUCAUGUUCUGGUUUGUCACAGACCGAGUGGGCUGCUUUGACCAUGUGUUUUUCUUUUAAGGUUAAAAACCUUAAACCUAAUUUGGGGGUCAUAGAAAUAUGUUUAUCUGCUUACGGCUGAUCAACGAAAGAUCCAAAAUGAUGUAAUGUCUUAAAUACGUGCUGAACUUUGAAAUGACGGUUUUCUUGUGUAUGUUACU
Gasterosteus aculeatus aculeatus (three-spined stickleback) is the source of this 1486-nucleotide long non-coding RNA. The record is from Ensembl. Lineage: Eukaryota; Metazoa; Chordata; Actinopteri; Perciformes; Gasterosteidae.